GUUGGCCCACAAACAGAAUCAUUUAAUAGAAUUUUGCAUAGAUGCACAUGUCAAAACAGGUAGAUCAUAAAUUACUAUCAUGCUUAGCAUGACAAACUUAUACAAAAUAAUCCUACCGUCAUCCGCUACACAUUAUCUCCGACCAUCUAAUCACACCAAGUAGGGCUACUAAAACUCAUCCAUCCAAUCGCAGCUAUGCUGCCAAAAAUUUAUUACAGGUAUAUUGCCAAAAAUAUAUAUAGUGCAGUUAAACUGCCAAAAUUAGAUUUCCUCUAUCACAAAAUCUUUUCUCACCCUAAUGCAUAUACAAAAAUCAUACUGAGUGAUCAUGCCAUAUUUACUCAUACAUAACAACAGAACAUGAGCAUAAUAUUUAAGCUUACUUAGAGUCUUACUGAACAGAAACCCACUUUUAUAGAUACGUAUACACAUAUGUUUACAGGUAUCAUGAUUUAACACAUAUUUAGAAUAUAUUACAAAUCAGAGUCUAGAAUUUAAUACUUGGCCCAACGGACCACUCAAAAUGGCUCACACGACCCAUCAGGCCAAAUCGUGUAGCCCACAAGCCUUACCUCAACCAGACCAUGUGGCUUAUACAUCUAUGUUUCUCACACGGCCCUACACACGAUCAUGUAGCGUCAUCAGCCUCAUUUUGAUUUUCACAAAAUUUUAGGGUUUCCAUGUUCGUUUUUAAAAAUUACGGGUUAGGUCAUACAACUUAUUACUUUUAGGAUGUCGGCACUAAAACAGCACUCCAAGUCCUACCUCAACCAGACCAUGUGGCUUAUACAUCUAUGUUUCUCACACGGCCCGACACAUGACCAUGUAGCGUCAUCAGCCUCAUUUUGAUUUUCAUAGAAUUUCAAGGUUUCCAUGUUCGUUUUUAAAAAUUACGGGUCAGGUCGUACACCUUAUUACUUUUGGGAUGUCGGCACUAAAGCAGCACUCCAAGUCCCUGUACACGACAUCCACAACUAACUCGAUUAGCAAACUUAACAACGAAAUCGAAACUUGAAUUUGGUUUUCAACACUUGAUUAAACCAGUCCUUUAAACUGGUAUUUGGUCACUUACCCUGGAAAGAUAGCGGUUUAACAGCAACUAAACUGCUGGUGGGUUAUGUAUCUCGCAAUCUUCACUUAACAUAACCAAAACUCUCCCAAGAUUAAAAAAACAACUUCCUAUAAAACAAACAAAUUAUGAUUGCAAAAUAAAAUAAAAUAAAUAUAUAAUACUAAGUCGAAGUUUCGAAGCACAUAUGACCAACAAAGAAAACAAAGAAUUGACGACACUGUGACGAAUCAAGGUCUGGAUGGCAUAAAAGAAAAAUAAGCAAGAGAUUGCCCACAAAAUUAUGGAAAAUAAAACAAAAUGAAAAGACAAAAGAAACAAAGAUGAAAGGCGGCAGAGGAAGAGUUUCCAUUAGCAAAAUAAGGGGAAAACGAAAAAUGGGGAGAGAGGGAUAACAACUAGAGAGGAAAUUUUGGGAUAACUUUUAAUAAUUUCCAAAAAAAAAUCUGAUAAAAAUCUUAUCUAAA
Molecule: long non-coding RNA, 1536 nt
Filed under: Gossypium raimondii (Peruvian cotton)
Lineage: Eukaryota; Viridiplantae; Streptophyta; Magnoliopsida; Malvales; Malvaceae
Description: long non-coding RNA (GRAI_LNC003874)
Source: RNAcentral